GCCCUCUCAGGGUCACACCUGCAGAGUUCCCAGUACUCUACCAGUCUCAACUACAGGAGGGAUAGUCAGGCAGAGGCAUAUCCAUUCUAUUCCUAGUUUGGGCAGUGGCUAGCGAGUGGAAGGCAAUCUACUACACAU
This is a non-coding RNA of Ornithorhynchus anatinus (platypus), 138 nucleotides long. Lineage: Eukaryota; Metazoa; Chordata; Mammalia; Monotremata; Ornithorhynchidae. The record is from Rfam.